UAUUCGCUGCGCAGCGCCCCUUCAGCAAAGUGGGAGACGAAACGGAGCCCCUUCCAUUUCUCCUCCCGCUUUGCUGGAGAGGCGCUGCACAGAGAGG
Molecule: non-coding RNA, 97 nt
Organism: Podarcis lilfordi (Lilford's wall lizard)
Lineage: Eukaryota; Metazoa; Chordata; Lepidosauria; Squamata; Lacertidae
Source: the annotation of a GenBank genome assembly